Molecule: ribosomal RNA, 605 nt
Filed under: uncultured eukaryote
Lineage: Eukaryota
Description: SSU rRNA
Rfam family: Eukaryotic small subunit ribosomal RNA
Source: RNAcentral
GCUCGUAGUCGAAUUUCGGACUUGGCUUACCGGUCUACCUUAUGGUCAGUACUGGUGAAGCUGUGUCUUACCUUCUGGGGAACGUUUGUGCUCUUUAUUGAGUGUGAUCGGGAACCAGGACAUUUACUUUGAAAAAAUUAGAGUGUUUAACACAGGCUUAUGCUUGAAUACAUUAGCAUGGAAUAAUGAAAUAGGACUUUGGUUCUAUUUUGUUGGUUUCUAGGACCAAAGUAAUGAUCAAUAGGAACAGUUGGGGGCAUUAGUAUUGAAACGUUAGAGGUGAAAUUCUUGGAUCGUUUCAAGACUUACUACUGCGAAAGCAUUUGCCAAGGAUGUUUUCACUGAUCAAGAACGAAAGUUAGGGGAUCGAAGACGAUCAGAUACCGUCGUAGUCUUAACCAUAAACUAUGCCGACUAGGGAUCAGUGGAUGUUAAUUAUUGACUUCAUUGGCACCUUAUGAGAAAUCAAAGUUUUUGGGUUCCGGGGGGAGUAUGGUCGCAAGGCUGAAACUUAAAGGAAUUGACGGAAGGGCACCACCAGGAGUGGAGCCUGCGGCUUAAUUUGACUCAACACGGGAAAACUCACCAGGUCCAGACAUAGUAAG